Molecule: small RNA, 475 nt
Filed under: Cryptococcus neoformans H99
Lineage: Eukaryota; Fungi; Basidiomycota; Tremellomycetes; Tremellales; Cryptococcaceae
Description: Cryptococcus neoformans var. grubii H99 hypothetical RNA
Source: RNAcentral
GGGAAUUCAUCUUGCACAUUCUUUACUCCCAAUUUUGAGCCGAGGACUGAAACGAUCUUGAUCUGCGAUUGGUCCAGACCCCACUCGGUGAGCAUGUUCAAGGCAGCAAUGGCAGUCCCUCCAGUGGCAAUCAAGGCUGUGCCGCAUACGAGUAAGUCUUCGUACACCAAUAAUCUGCCAUAGUAAAAGAAACAUACGGUCAAGGAGGAAUACGAGGUCGGCCGUGACCUGAGAGGGGAGCUUUGAAUAGUAUCUGGUCAUAGCUUGCAAUGACACUUUAUCUCGGAAGAGGCCAAGAUGGAGCACAGUGGCUUCCGGGAAGCUCUCAAGCGCAGCUGCAGCACAUGGGAUGAGGACUCCGUAUAGUUUUUUGCCUGACUGUGAUGAGACGUACCAUCGGUUAGUCCAAUACCGGCUCGCAAGAUGGGAGAGAGGCCAAUGCGCAAGGGGAUGGUUUGGCCUGUGAAGGGAGCGA